This 299-nucleotide unclassified non-coding RNA is filed under the name uncultured Teratosphaeriaceae. Its description in RNAcentral is "sequence contains ITS1". The stretch from base 1 to 105 matches the Rfam family "5.8S ribosomal RNA", at positions 50 to 154 of the family's 154-position model. Lineage: Eukaryota; Fungi; Ascomycota; Dothideomycetes; Mycosphaerellales; Teratosphaeriaceae. The record is from RNAcentral.
GAAAUGCGAUAAGUAAUGUGAAUUGCAGAAUUCAGUGAAUCAUCGAAUCUUUGAACGCACAUUGCGCCCCUUGGUAUUCCGGGGGGCAUGCCUGUUCGAGCGUCAUUUCACCACUCAAGCCUGGCUUGGUAUUGGGCGAGGCGGCUUUACGGCCGCCCGCCUCAAAGUCUUCGGCUGGACCGACCGUCUCUAAGCGUUGUGACUUUGUUGAAUCGCUUGCGAGUAUGGGACGUCCUCGGCCGUUAAACCCAUUAUAAAAGGUUGACCUCGGAUCAGGUAGGGAUACCCGCUGAACUUAA